RNAcentral lists this ribosomal RNA (584 nucleotides) under Klebsiella aerogenes. RNAcentral's name for it is "partial 23S ribosomal RNA". It matches the Rfam family "Bacterial large subunit ribosomal RNA", at positions 2261 to 2839 of the family's 2925-position model. The record is from RNAcentral. Lineage: Bacteria; Pseudomonadati; Pseudomonadota; Gammaproteobacteria; Enterobacterales; Enterobacteriaceae.
GUGGGUAGUUUGACUGGGGCGGUCUCCUCCCAAAGAGUAACGGAGGAGCACGAAGGUUAGCUAAUCCUGGUCGGACAUCAGGAGGUUAGUGCAAUGGCAUAAGCUAGCUUGACUGCGAGCGUGACGGCGCGAGCAGGUGCGAAAGCAGGUCAUAGUGAUCCGGUGGUUCUGAAUGGAAGGGCCAUCGCUCAACGGAUAAAAGGUACUCCGGGGAUAACAGGCUGAUACCGCCCAAGAGUUCAUAUCGACGGCGGUGUUUGGCACCUCGAUGUCGGCUCAUCACAUCCUGGGGCUGAAGUAGGUCCCAAGGGUAUGGCUGUUCGCCAUUUAAAGUGGUACGCGAGCUGGGUUUAGAACGUCGUGAGACAGUUCGGUCCCUAUCUGCCGUGGGCGCUGGAGAAUUGAGGGGGGCUGCUCCUAGUACGAGAGGACCGGAGUGGACGCAUCACUGGUGUUCGGGUUGUCAUGCCAAUGGCAUUGCCCGGUAGCUAAAUGCGGAAGAGAUAAGUGCUGAAAGCAUCUAAGCACGAAACUUGCCCCGAGAUGAGUUCUCCCUGAGACUUUAAGUCUCCUGAAGGAACGUU